Molecule: non-coding RNA, 45 nt
Filed under: Schistosoma curassoni
Lineage: Eukaryota; Metazoa; Platyhelminthes; Trematoda; Strigeidida; Schistosomatidae
Source: RNAcentral
AUCCAGUUGAGCCGUCCCAAAUAGGAUGAAACGCGCGUCCUGGAU